UACGUAGGGUGCGAGUGUUGUUCGGAAUUACUGGGCGUAAAGCGCGUGUAGGCGGCUAUUUAAGUCGGGUGUGAAAGCCCUCAGCCUAACUGAGGAAGUGCAUUCGAAACUGGAUGGCUUGAGUGUGUAGGGGAAGGUGGAAUUCCUAGUGUAGAGGUGAAAUUCGUAGGUACUAGGAGGAAUACCGGUGGCGAAGGCGACCUUCUGGUCCACAACUGACGCUCAAAUGCGAAAGCGU
Molecule: ribosomal RNA, 238 nt
Filed under: uncultured bacterium
Lineage: Bacteria
Description: partial 16S ribosomal RNA
Rfam family: Bacterial small subunit ribosomal RNA
Source: RNAcentral